RNAcentral lists this ribosomal RNA (509 nucleotides) under uncultured bacterium. RNAcentral's name for it is "bacterial SSU rRNA". It matches the Rfam family "Bacterial small subunit ribosomal RNA", at positions 36 to 518 of the family's 1533-position model. The record is from RNAcentral.
CUGGCGGCGUGCCUAAUACAUGCAAGUCAACGGCUUUUCAUGGAAGCUUGCUUCACUGAGAAGAUAGUGGCGAACGGGUAGAGUAACACGUGGGGUAACCUGCCCAUAAGAGGGGGAUAACAUCCGGAAACGGGUGCUAAUACCGCAUAGUUUUCUUGAUCGCAUGAUUGAGAAAGGAAAGACGGCCUUUGUGCUGUCGCUUAUGGAUGGACCCGCGGCGUAUUAGUUAGUUGGUGAGGUAACGGCUCACCAAGACGAUGAUACGUAGCCGACCUGAGAGGGUGAUCGGCCACAUUGGGACUGAGACACGGCCCAAACUCCUACGGGAGGCAGCAGUAGGGAAUCUUCCGCAAUGGACGAAAGUCUGACGGAGCAACGCCGCGUGAGUGAAGAAGGUUUUUCCGGAUCGUAAAACUCUGUUGUCAGAGAAGAACAAGUUGGAGAGUAACUGCUCCAGCCUUGACGGUAUCUGACCAGAAAGCCACGGCUAACUACGUGCCAGCAGCAGC